UUUGUUAAUGGAAUAGCGGCGCCGAUUUUGACAAUUGUAGCACCAGAUAGCAGCUCCAGAUAGCAGCUCCAGAUUGAUCACGCCACUUGUGUCUUUGCUGUCGAACAACGUCGCAAUGUCUCCACAACCAACUGUUGCAUGGAUAGGGUAGCCUGCGCAUUAGAAUUGUUGCUGCAUCGAUGUGUACUCGAUCUGUGGUACGACAUCCACAUGCUUUUCGUGUGGAACUAGUGAUUUCCUCUUCUUGACGCCCUAGCAACUAGUUGUUACUCAAUAAGGUAGUACAUAAACUUCCGCAGGUUUGUUUCAUGCGUUACAUUCGAUUGUGCUUGGAAAGCCGAGCAUGGAGACGAACCCGCGGUCUAUCCUUUACAUGUUUCGCAGUUUGUUGGAUGAGUUAGCGGACAUGGUGUUCACGGUGCGCCGUGAGGUUGCAGAUUGGAGUCAUAGUUUCCCGCCCAUGUCGUAUGGAACCGCUGUCGUCGUUGGAUUUGUGCUACUUCUACUACUACUCGUUUUUGGCUAUUCAAGAAGAGUUGGAAAGAAGAAAACAUUGCCACCAGGUCCCUUCGCGUUUCCAGUGAUUGGCAACCUCUUCUUAGUGGGGAAGCACCCGCACGUAACGUUCGCUAAACUGGCGAAACAGUAUGGGAACAUCAUGAGGCUUCACUUUGGAGCCGUUCCUGUCGUCAUAGUGUCCGAUGCAAACAUGGCCAGAGAGCUGUUUUCUGUGCAGGACAUGAAAUUUGCAUCCCGACCGAUUUAUGACCUUAUGAGUACGGCUUACAAGUACAUGAAUUAUGGUACCGAUGAAGAGGUAUCACUGGCAAUCAGUGAGUAUGGUCCUAAAGUGCGCGACUUGCGUCAAUUGUGCACAACGGAGUUAUUUACACAGCGGAAAAUUGACAUGAAAAAAAGCGUACGAGCGGAGGAGAUUCAGCGGAUGUUUGGGAAAAUUAAAACGAUGAUAAGAGACGAAGAGCCCGUGGAGAUUCGCCCAAUUGUCAGUGAGUUUAGCUUGCGCAUCAGCUGUCGGACAACCUUCAAUAAAGCCUUUCUGAAUUUUGAGAAUCUUCCCUGGAGACCUGGGGCCCUGCAUCCCCAGGCGUUCAGGAAUAUGGAAACAGAAAAUACGAAGCUCCUUGGGGAGCACCAAAUCUUAGACAUGAUCCCAAUGCUAAAGUUCGUUUUAGAAAGAUUUGAUGUUUUUGGCAUCAAUGCAAGAUGGAAGGAAGUGAGCGCUCUCAAAGAAGAGUGUACUAGGCCGGUUAUAGAAUGGUACCGAAAACAUUCAUCAGAUGAUGAAUCGACACUUGACUUCGUGGAGGUUUUGCUUCGUCUUAGUGAAGAGGGGAAGUUAUCGAAGACCUGCGUUAAGUCGUUAAUUCUUGAACUGUUGACAGCUGGAUCAGAUACGAUUGCUUCCGUUUUGGAGUGGACGCUUUUGGAACUUGUUCGCCAUCCGCAUUGCAUGGAAAGAUUGAGUGCCGAGAUUGAUGGAUUUUUUGGCACUAAUCGACCAGUAGAUGAAGAUGAGUUAACUAAAUUACCGUACCUUCAGGCUGUGGCGAAGGAAGUUCUGCGCCUGCACAAUCCUACCACUCUUGGUAUCCCUCACUCCAAUAUGGAAGAAGCGACACUGGCAGGGUACCACCUCCCUGCGCGGACAACAGUACUUGCAAAUUUUUGGGCAAUUAGCCGAGAUCCUACUACUUGGGGACAGGAUGCAUUAACGUUCAAUCCAGACAGGUUCCUUGCCUGCGAUUUGAACGUGAAUGGUACAAAUUACGAGUAUCUGCCGUUUGGAGCUGGAAGGAGGAUUUGUCCUGGACGCGCGGUGGCUAUGAGGGUCUUGGCUGCGGCUAUCGGCUCUUUCGUUCAUGCAUUUGAAUGGUCAGCCUUGCCGGGAGUUGAGCUCAAUGCCAAUGAAGGCAAGGAUGGGCUCAACAUUCGACCAGAAACUCCAUUGGUACUUAAAUUAAGCCCAAGGCCUUCAGCCAUGCUUUACUAAGCCCUCACUACUACCACCGCUUAUUUUCCUAGCCUUCGAAUUCAUGCUCAAUAUGGCUCGUCGUAGAACACACAAAUACAAGAAGGGUGCCAAUGUGUUCACAGCUUGAUCCAACGGGCUUGAAUCAGAAUCCUAAUAUCGUAUAUGAACUGUACAGCAUGCAUAAUUGAUAUGUUAAGCCAGGCUUUCUGUUGUGAUUGUUGCUGAUGCAACUACGACGUCCGUAUGUGAGGGAUCCACGGCGAUUAUGAUUGGUGAAAUUGGCUAGCCGCAAUGUUAAAGACGGCAUGAUCUCAUUGUUCCAAAGAGACACGCAAUACGCAAACAGGCUGGAGAUUCUUGAGGGUGUCGGUAUGGUAUAUCGAAUGUGUCAAGAUUGCUGGAGACUAAUUUGUAAGAUCUUUAGAGGCGGCUGAUUGGAAUCAGAUCGGUGUUGCAAUGGAUGUGCAAGUCAGCCCUAAACAAUGAACUCGUGAGCGUGUUGCUUUUCAUAGCUGUGUCCAGAGCGAUAAUAUGUAAAAAGAAAAUAAAUUAGGGUUUAUAAUCCCACGAUCUUCUGGUAGGGGUUUUGAUGUUGCCUCUUGACCUUCGGAACCCGGUUGCACUCAGCGACGCCACAACGAAGGUUAAUCUCUUUCCAGGGCAGGUUCUGAGUGUGGCGUUGAAGUACGGCUUGUGCGUACCUGCAUUUGAUUCUUUAAACGAUACUUCUGGAGAGGGAGAAGAGUUUCCCCUAAUAAAAGCUGUAAAAAUUA
Molecule: non-coding RNA, 2766 nt
Organism: Physcomitrium patens
Lineage: Eukaryota; Viridiplantae; Streptophyta; Bryopsida; Funariales; Funariaceae
Source: RefSeq, a predicted model, not a curated record